GUUUGCACUCAUCGGGGAAGGGUGAGAACCUUCGACUAAGGUUCGAUUCGAGCGAAAGCGAGAGAACGUUGCCACAGGCAACGGCCCGAAGGGUGAGGAGCGCAGCGCUGAGUAAUCCUUCCCCCACCACCA
Molecule: small RNA, 132 nt
Filed under: Escherichia coli
Lineage: Bacteria; Pseudomonadati; Pseudomonadota; Gammaproteobacteria; Enterobacterales; Enterobacteriaceae
Description: RtT sRNA
Rfam family: RtT RNA
About the family: This family represents a bacterial cis-regulatory element known as RtT RNA. The exact function of RtT is unknown although it is thought that it may be involved in changing the cellular response in relation to amino acid starvation.
Source: RNAcentral